This 253-nucleotide ribosomal RNA is filed under the name uncultured bacterium. RNAcentral's name for it is "partial 16S ribosomal RNA". It matches the Rfam family "Bacterial small subunit ribosomal RNA", at positions 524 to 776 of the family's 1533-position model. The record is from RNAcentral.
UACGUAGGGGGCAAGCGUUGUCCGGAUUUAUUGGGCGUAAAGAGCGUGUAGGCGGCUUUACAGGUCCAUUGUGAAAACUCGAGGCUCAACCUCGAGACGCCGGUGGAAACCGUAAAGCUAGAGUCCGGAAGAGGAGAGUGGAAUUCCUGGUGUAGCGGUGAAAUGCGCAGAUAUCAGGAGGAACACCCGUGGCGAAAGCGGCUCUCUGGGACGGUACUGACGCUGAGAGACGAAAGCUAGGGGAGCAAAUGGG